This 71-nucleotide transfer RNA is filed under the name Pangasianodon hypophthalmus (striped catfish). It matches the Rfam family "tRNA". Rfam says of the family: Transfer RNA (tRNA) molecules are approximately 80 nucleotides in length. Their secondary structure includes four short double-helical elements and three loops (D, anti-codon, and T loops). Lineage: Eukaryota; Metazoa; Chordata; Actinopteri; Siluriformes; Pangasiidae. The record is from Rfam by way of RNAcentral.
UUCCUGGAGGGCUAGUGGUUAGGCCAUGGUGCUCUCAUCACUGCAGCCUGGGUUCGAGUCCAGCCAGGGAA